Molecule: long non-coding RNA, 582 nt
Organism: Malaclemys terrapin pileata
Lineage: Eukaryota; Metazoa; Chordata; Testudines; Emydidae
Exons: 3
Source: RefSeq, a predicted model, not a curated record
CGGCUCCAGGAACCAGGCAACCAAGCAUAUGCUUGGGGCGGCACCUGUUGAUUACAUCCUUCAGCACUCAUCAAUGACACCAUCCCAGAAGUCACUGCCAAAGAAAUAUUUGUUUCAACCUUCUCACAAACAGCUGACUACAUUGCUUCUGCAGCCCUGUAGCCCUCGACAGGACCAGGUUUGCUAACUCUAUGCAGCACAUGUGCCUAUUAUGUGAGCCCAAUUCUGCCAGCCUUACUUACAUCAAGAUUUACCUUAUUACACAAGCUGCCCCAAUGGCUUCACUAGUUCAUUCUGCAACCUUGUCUCUGCAUUGCCUAGUUUCAAUGGGACUAUCUGCACUGGACUAACACUGGAUGAAGAGAAUCACAGAACUGGCUUGAUGUCCUUUCUAUAUGGCUACUGUACAGUGUGCUGGCUGAUGUAAAUAUUUUCUCUUCUGAAGAUGGGUUAUAUUUGAAGUGGCCUAUUUUUCUUAACUAUGUCUAUUUUUGCUUGUUUUGUUUCUUUCAUAUAUGGUAGGAAGUAUUUUUGGAAGUGUUUUAUUUUCAUGCCUUUUUUAUCUUAACUAAUCUUUUUUUA